RNAcentral lists this ribosomal RNA (253 nucleotides) under uncultured bacterium. Its description in RNAcentral is "partial 16S ribosomal RNA". It matches the Rfam family "Bacterial small subunit ribosomal RNA", at positions 524 to 776 of the family's 1533-position model. The record is from RNAcentral.
UACGUAGGAGGCAAGCGUUGUCCGGAAUUACUGGGCGUAAAGCGCGUGUAGGUGGUGGGACAAGUCUGCUGUGAAAGCGCCUGGCUUAACCGGGCGAGGUCGGCGGAAACUGUCCGACUCGAGGACGGUAGAGGGGGGUGGAAUUCCCGGUGUAGUGGUGAAAUGCGUAGAGAUCGGGAGGAACACCUGUGGCGAAGGCGGCCCCCUGGGCCGGCCCUGACACUGAGACGCGACAGCGUGGGGAGCAAACAGG